AGUGAACGCUGGCGGCGUGCCUAACACAUGCAAGUCGAACGAUGAUAGAGAGCUUGCUCUCCUGAUUAGUGGCGCACGGGUGAGUAUACCAUAGAUAAUGUACCUCUUAGUUCGGGAUAGCCACUGGAAACGGUGCUUAAUACCGGAUACUCCUUCUUGUCUUAAGGCAAGUCGGGAAAGUUUUUUCGCUAAGAGAUCAGUCUAUGUCCUAUCAGCUAGUUGGUGAGGUAAUGGCUCACCAAGGCAAUGAAGGGUAUCUGGUUUGAGCGGAUGAUCAGACACACUGGAACUGGGACACGGUCCAGACUCCUACGGGAGGCAGCAGUGAGGAAUAUUGCACAAUGGAGGAAACUCUGAUGCAGCAACGCCGCGUGGAGGAUGACGCAUUUCGGUGUGUAAACUCCUUUUAAGAGGGAAGAUAGUGACGGUACCUCUUGAAUAAGCACCGGCUAACUCCGUGCCAGCAGCCGCGGUAA
This 476-nucleotide ribosomal RNA is filed under the name uncultured bacterium. Its description in RNAcentral is "partial 16S ribosomal RNA". It matches the Rfam family "Bacterial small subunit ribosomal RNA", at positions 29 to 523 of the family's 1533-position model. The record is from RNAcentral.